UUCUGGUUGAUCCUGCCAGAGGCGACCGCUUUUGGAGUUCGAUUAAGCCAUGCGAGUCGAGAGCCUUAGGGGCUCGGCAUACUGCUCAGUAACACGUGGAUAACCUGCCCUAUUGUCUGGAAUAACCUCGGGAAACUGAGAACAAGGCCGGAUAGCCCACAAUGCCUGGAACGGUUUGUGGGUGAAGAUAGGAUGGGUCUGCGGCGUAUCAGGUCGUAGGGGGUGUAAUGGACCUCCUAGCCAUCGACGCGUACGGGUGUUGGGAGACAUAGCCCGGAGAUGGAUUCUGAGACACGAAUCCAGACCCUACGGGGUGCAGCAGGCGCGAAAACUUCACACUGCAGGAAACUGUGAUGAGGGAACUCCAAGUGCAUUCACUAUGUGGAUGCUUUUUUUGACUAUUAAUCGGUCAACGAAUAAGGGCUGGGAAAGACCGGUGCCAGCCGCCGCGGUAAUACCGGCAGCUCAAGUGGUCGUCGCUUUUAUUGGGCCUAAAACGUCCGUAGCCUGUUUGGUAAAUCUGUGGGUAAAUCAACCAGCUUAACUGGUUGAAUUCUGCAGAGACUGCCAGACUAGGGACCGGGAGAGGUGUGGGGUACUCUAGGGGUAGGGGUAAAAUCCUGUCAUCCUUAGAGGACCACCAGUUGCGAAGGCGCCACACUGGAACGGAUCCGACGGUCAGGGACGAAGCCUAGGGGCACGAACCGGAUUAGAUACCCGGGUAGUCCUAGGUGUAAACGCUGUGAACU
This 749-nucleotide ribosomal RNA is filed under the name uncultured Candidatus Poseidoniales archaeon. Its description in RNAcentral is "bacterial SSU rRNA". It matches the Rfam family "Archaeal small subunit ribosomal RNA", at positions 1 to 768 of the family's 1478-position model. Lineage: Archaea; Methanobacteriati; Thermoplasmatota; Candidatus Poseidoniia; Candidatus Poseidoniales. The record is from RNAcentral.